RNAcentral lists this transfer RNA (63 nucleotides) under Physella acuta. Its description in RNAcentral is "transfert RNA-S2(TCA)". The record is from RNAcentral. Lineage: Eukaryota; Metazoa; Mollusca; Gastropoda; Physidae.
UUCUCUAUAACAAAAAUUAAGUGAACGAUUUUGAAAAUCGUUCCAGAGAUAAACCAAGAGAAU